This 422-nucleotide ribosomal RNA is filed under the name uncultured bacterium. RNAcentral describes it as "bacterial SSU rRNA". It matches the Rfam family "Bacterial small subunit ribosomal RNA", at positions 355 to 774 of the family's 1533-position model. The record is from RNAcentral.
UAAGGAAUAUUGGUCAAUGGAGGCAACUCUGAACCAGCCAUGCCGCGUGAAGGAUUAAGGCCCUCUGGGUUGUAAACUUCUUUUAUAUGGGAAGAAAUGUACUUUUUCUAAAGUGCUUGACGGUACCAUAGGAAUAAGCACCGGCUAACUCCGUGCCAGCAGCCGCGGUAAUACGGAGGGUGCAAGCGUUAUCCGGAUUUACUGGGUUUAAAGGGUGCGUAGGCGGAUGAAUAAGUCAGUGGUGAAAUCUCCGAGCUUAACUCGGAAACUGCCGUUGAUACUAUUUGUCUUGAAUAUUGUGGAGGUAAGCGGAAUAUGUCAUGUAGCGGUGAAAUGCUUAGAUAUGACAUAGAACACCCAUUGCGAAGGCAGCUUGCUACACAAUCAUUGACGCUGAGGCACGAAAGCGUGGGGAUCAAACA